UGGGGAUUCGUCCAACGGUAGGACACCAGUUUUUGGUACUGGCUAUGUGGGUUCGAUUCCUGCAUCCCCAGCCA
RNAcentral lists this transfer RNA (74 nucleotides) under Coriobacteriia bacterium. RNAcentral describes it as "tRNA-Gln". It matches the Rfam family "tRNA". From Rfam's summary of the family: Transfer RNA (tRNA) molecules are approximately 80 nucleotides in length. Lineage: Bacteria; Bacillati; Actinomycetota; Coriobacteriia. The record is from RNAcentral. RNAcentral also lists the same sequence under 2 other names.